Molecule: ribosomal RNA, 229 nt
Filed under: uncultured bacterium
Lineage: Bacteria
Description: partial 16S ribosomal RNA
Rfam family: Bacterial small subunit ribosomal RNA
Source: RNAcentral
UGCGUAGGCGGAUUAAUAAGUCAGUGGUGAAAACCUGCAGCUUAACUGUAGAACUGCCAUUGAUACUGUUAGUCUUGAGUACGGUCAAGGUAGGCGGAAUGUGUAAUGUAGCGGUGAAAUGCUUAGAUAUUACACAGAACACCGAUUGCGAAGGCAGCUUACUGGACCAUUACCGACGCUGAGGCACGAAAGCGUGGGGAGCGAACAGGAUUAGAUACCCUGGUAGUCC